Molecule: long non-coding RNA, 852 nt
Organism: Sceloporus undulatus (fence lizard)
Lineage: Eukaryota; Metazoa; Chordata; Lepidosauria; Squamata; Phrynosomatidae
Exons: 4
Source: RefSeq, a predicted model, not a curated record
GAAGAACAUCCUGAUGGUGUGACUGUGAGUUACAGCAUGAUAAAUUGCCAGCUGACGUGCCUUGCACAUACAAGCCAAGAAUGCUAAAAAGCAGGAAACAAAAUGGAAGCAUUGUGAACAGGCAGCUGGAGGGAAACCUGCCAAGUACCCAUGAAAAGGAGAGUGCUACAGACAUCAUUUUCCAGCACCCCAAUCCUUAGCACUUCAGAAAUGCUUUAUUUGGAAUGCUGCCAGGCUGCAAGCACACAACCUCUUUUGAAGUGUAGAGUUGUCACAGAAGAAGGCUUGUGAAUAUGUGAAACAGGUCGGAGCCUCACAGCCGAAAUACGUUGACUCUUGUCAGGAGCAAUCAACCCCUCAAGUGAGUGUCUCAUCUCAGGGCUCGAUGAAAAAUCAAAUGCACAACAACAACACACAGCAAUUUACUGAAGCAGUGACACUCAAGUAACAUGAGAAUUAGUGCGCACAGGCAUUAUCAGCAUGAGAAUUAAAAUCUAAUUAGAACUGCUCCAUGUCAAGUGUCAGCAAGUUAAUCAGUCUGAGAUUUCCAAAAUGGUACCAACUAGACAGACUAAAAUGUAAAGCAAGAAAAUCACAGACAGCCUUAUAAUUUAAAAAGCAGUGUUUGACACUUCAACCUUUUACACACUCAUUUGGAAAUAAAUGCCUUUGAAAUCAAGGGGGCUUAUGCCUCAGUAGAAUAUAAGGAAUUUAAAAUAACGCCAUAGAGAUGAACCAAUGAUACACGGAAUGAAUGUUCUAGUUCUUCCAUGAACUUUUAUUUCAUCUUGAAGACAGUUAAAAAUAGAGGCAAUAAAAGAAUGUCAUAAUCACAUGCAACAUGAUGGCUAA